Molecule: ribosomal RNA, 129 nt
Filed under: Galerina marginata
Lineage: Eukaryota; Fungi; Basidiomycota; Agaricomycetes; Agaricales; Galerinaceae
Also listed under: 1 other name
Description: partial 28S ribosomal RNA
Rfam family: Eukaryotic large subunit ribosomal RNA
Source: RNAcentral
CGGAGGAAAAGAAACUAACAAGGAUUCCCCUAGUAACUGCGAGUGAAGCGGGAAAAGCUCAAAUUUAAAAUCUGGUGGUCUUUGGCCAUCCGAGUUGUAAUCUAGAGAAGUGUUAUCCGCGCUGGACCG